GGGUCCGCAAGCGCUUGGUUGAUUGCCAACGCGAGCGCAUCAAUGUCGCCAUUGUCCACGAGCGUGCCGAUGCGGCCGCGUUCCAGAAUCUCGUCCGGGCCGCCACUUCGUGUCGACACCACUGGAAGNUCCUGAUGCCAGCGCUUCGACAACCACAUUGCCGAAGGCUUCCCUGCGCGACGUCAGCGCAAAGCACCGGGCCUGCGCAUAGCAAGGCCAUGGGUCAUCGCGAUAGCCCGGAAGUUCCAGUCUGUCUGCGACGCCGAGUUGCUUCGCGCGUGCCAGCAAAUUAUCCCGCUCGGGACCUUCGCCAAAGAUCACGAGGCGCGCAUCUGCGUGCAGACGGGGAAGCGCCUCGACCAGCGAUGCAAAAUCCUUUUCCGGAUU
RNAcentral lists this unclassified non-coding RNA (387 nucleotides) under Hevea brasiliensis (rubber tree). The record is from RNAcentral. Lineage: Eukaryota; Viridiplantae; Streptophyta; Magnoliopsida; Malpighiales; Euphorbiaceae.